AUUGAACGCUGGCGGCAUGCCUUACACAUGCAAGUCGAACGGCAGCACGGGAGCAAUCCUGGUGGCGAGUGGCGAACGGGUGAGUAAUAUAUCGGAACGUGCCCAGUCGUGGGGGAUAACGUAGCGAAAGCUACGCUAAUACCGCAUACGAUCUAUGGAUGAAAGCGGGGGAUCGCAAGACCUCGCGCGAUUGGAGCGGCCGAUAUCAGAUUAGGUAGUUGGUGAGGUAAAGGCUCACCAAGCCGACGAUCUGUAGCUGGUCUGAGAGGACGACCAGCCACACUGGGACUGAGACACGGCCCAGACUCCUACGGGAGGCAGCAGUGGGGAAUUUUGGACAAUGGGCGAAAGCCUGAUCCAGCAAUGCCGCGUGCAGGAAGAAGGCCUUCGGGUUGU
RNAcentral lists this ribosomal RNA (396 nucleotides) under uncultured bacterium. RNAcentral describes it as "bacterial SSU rRNA". It matches the Rfam family "Bacterial small subunit ribosomal RNA", at positions 30 to 426 of the family's 1533-position model. The record is from RNAcentral.